This 518-nucleotide ribosomal RNA is filed under the name uncultured bacterium. RNAcentral's name for it is "bacterial SSU rRNA". It matches the Rfam family "Bacterial small subunit ribosomal RNA", at positions 30 to 518 of the family's 1533-position model. The record is from RNAcentral.
CGAACGCUGGCGGCGUGCUUAACACAUGCAAGUCGAACGAGGUGAUUGAAAGCUUGCUUUGAGAACCGAGUGGCAAACGGGUGAGUAACACGUAGACAACCUGCCGCAAAGAUGGGGACAACAGUUCGAAAGGACUGCUAAUACCGAAUGUUGUCAGAUUCCCGCAUGGGAGACUGAUUAAAGAUGGCCUCUACUUGUAAGCUAUCGCUUUGCGAUGGGUCUGCGUCUGAUUAGCUAGUUGGUGGGGUAACGGCCUACCAAGGCGACGAUCAGUAGCCGGUCUGAGAGGAUGAACGGCCACAUUGGAACUGAGACACGGUCCAGACUCCUACGGGAGGCAGCAGUGGGGAAUCUUCCGCAAUGGGCGAAAGCCUGACGGAGCAACGCCGCGUGAGUGAAGAAAGGGGUUUCGGCUCGUAAAGCUCUGUUGACGGGGACGAAUGUGCGAGAUGCGAAUAGUUUCUUGCAAUGACGGUACCCGUCGAGGAAGCCACGGCUAACUACGUGCCAGCCGCCGC